UUGCACGGGAUAGAGUGAGUGUGCUUCAGC
RNAcentral lists this non-coding RNA (30 nucleotides) under Mus musculus (house mouse). The record is from RNAcentral. Lineage: Eukaryota; Metazoa; Chordata; Mammalia; Rodentia; Muridae.